This 518-nucleotide ribosomal RNA is filed under the name uncultured marine eukaryote. Its description in RNAcentral is "SSU rRNA". It matches the Rfam family "Eukaryotic small subunit ribosomal RNA", at positions 610 to 1140 of the family's 1831-position model. The record is from RNAcentral.
UUGUUGCAGUUAAAAAGCUCGUAGUCGGAUUUCAGUAUUAGGCCCUUCUUCCAAUACGGUUGCUAGUGGUCUUUACUUCCUUAACAGAAUCUUUCAUCUCAUUAAUUUGGGGUGUUUGGGGCCUGUUUCUUUUACUUUGAGAAAAUUAGAGUGUUCAAAGCGGGUUUUCGCCUGGAUAUUACUCUUGGAAUAAUAAUAUAGGACUUUGGUUCUUUUUUGUUGGUGACUUAGAACCGAAGUAAUGAUUGAUAGGGACAGUUGGGGUCAUUCGUACUAUGAAGCGAGAGGUGAAAUUCAUGGACCUUUGUAUGACGAACUACUGCGAAAGCAUUUGACUAGGAUGUUCCCGUUGAUCAAGAACGAAAGUUGGGGGAUCGAAGACGAUCAGAUACCGUCGUAGUCUCAACCAUAAACUAUGCCAGCUAGGGAUUGGAGGAAGAUCAUUUUACGUCUCCUUCAGCACCUUAUGAGAAAUCAAAGCAUUUGGGUUCCGGGGGGAGUAUGGUCGCAAAGGCUGA